This is a long non-coding RNA of Dromaius novaehollandiae (emu), 1633 nucleotides long. RefSeq lists it as uncharacterized. NCBI's taxonomy places the organism in Eukaryota, Metazoa, Chordata, Aves, Casuariiformes, Dromaiidae. The transcript has 7 exons. The record is from RefSeq and is a predicted model, not a curated record.
GGGAGCGGCGGUGAGGGGCCGGGGCGGGCGUUGCCGCCUGUGGCGCAGAGGAGGCGGCAGGACAGCGGCAGGGAGGAGGGCGGCGGCGCUGCCCGUGGUGGCCCGGGGAAGCCUCUGUGGAGAACAGGCGUAUUUGCAGCCCGGGCUGGAUGGAGGCGGUUCACAGAGGCUCUCGGCUGGUGUCGUGCAGCUGCCGCGUCUUGUUGGCAGGAGGGGGCUGAGGAGGUGUAGGACUGAACUGUAGAGUGAAUAUUUGGAGAGCUUACAAAAAAAAAAAAAAAAAAAAAGAAAAAAAGAAAAAGAAAAAAAAAAGAAAAAAAGAUUUUCAAUUCAGUCUUGACCAUAAUCAGUUUUUAUGAUCACUGUGAGGCUCUGUAGCAUCCCUGCAACUGCUCCUGUCCAGCCUACUGAGAGCAGUCACGUACCUGUGCUGCAGCAUGUCUGCCUGAAGCGGUGAAGGACGCGGUCACCUAGCGCCAGGCUCCUCCGCUUCCCGGUCAGCGCAGAGCUGAGAAGCCCCACUUCGGCAUCCUGACGGCUAACCCGGGUUAGCUCGCCUCCCUCCUCCUGGAUUAUUUAAUAAAGGUGCUGCUGAAGGACUGGCAUCUGUAGAAGAACAGAGAAUAAGUUAUAUCUGCAGUGCUAUUUCCUAGUGGUAAUUAUUUCCCAUUGACUCAGACCAAAGGACAGUGAGGACACCUAACAAACAGUAUGCAGCUGAUAUGGAGAGUAAGCCAAGUCAACUGGAUGAGUCAGCACAGGCAACAUAAAGGCGUCUCAUUUUCUUAUGGCAUAAUUGCACCAUGAGAGUCAUAGAACACUUCAAAUACAAUGAUGGUGAGAGCAACAUGUAUCAAAAAAGGGACCGCAGUUAAAAGCUAGGGCUAGGACUCGGAGGAUGUGUAGGCAAACGGAAGGCGAGCCGGGGGAAGAAAAACCGAAAUGGAUUCAUUCUCUGUCCUGGAUGGAGGAGGAGAGGAGACGAAGGGGACGUGCGAGCUUCCUUCAGCUGCUCUGUCCGGUGCAAAGUGAUCAAAGCCCCGGGGCUCGCUAGGGCGCAGGAGUCCGCGCGGACUUUCGCUUUAAGCUGCCAAUCAAACCGCUCACUAGCCACCACCCUGCGCUGGCACGGACAUGAUCUGAGGGAUAUCCUAACGUUAGAGAAAACUCAGCAGCCCUCGCCCUUCCGCCCGCGCGGCGCUGCCGGUGGAGGAGCCCAGCCGGAGCGCAGAGCCGCGGCUCAGCAGCGGUCUGAAUAUUCAUAUUUAACUCUUCAAACAACGGAAGAUGCUUCAAAACCAUGCGUGAGACAAAAUGACUUUACACUUUCCAUCAUUAAACCUCUGUUUAGCUGUACUCCAGAAAUGAGUAGUUCAUAACAAGCUACGAGUCUGAUUGACAGGCUGCCAGCAGAAGCCCUUCAGCAGGAUUUUUGCAGCUCUCGCCUAGUGUGCUGUUCCUUGCUCCCUUUGGUGAGAUCCUAUUUCAAGCGCAGAGGCAAGAGGAAAAUUUGCAGAAAAGUUUCAUAUCUAAAACGUGAUUGCUCUGAAAUUAAGAAGCAACAUUUUUUUUCCUUUAUUGCUUUAGAAAUAAAGGUUGCGCUUCGUGUUCGUGUUUGCUUAGUGCACUCUGA